UUUUUUUUUGCUUAACAUUAAAACUAUAGUAAGAUGAAUGUAUGACCAUAUUAGACUUAUGUAUCGAAAUUUCGAAAGACAAACAUACUAAGAUACAAAGCUUUAGGGAACUUUUUUCAGUGUUGAAACAUUUUUAUAACUUCUAAUUUAUUUUAUUGCGACUUCUUUUGUGCCCACCACCAUGUCUGUUGUAAACUUAACUUUUAUUAUAAAAGCAAUUCAUGUUCCAUCUUUGAUGAGCAAAUUGUGGAAUUAACUCCGUACAACCUACGUAGCGUAGUUGGUUAUUCUCUGAUGCCCUCUCAAUAUGUCUGUAUCAUUAUUGUUGAUAACGUCACUGCAACGAAGUCCUUGUUGUGUUCCCAUCUGUCAAUACACCAUCAAAAAUUAAUUUAGCUCAAUUGCAGUUAUUUUUGCCAUCGAGGCAUCUCGCUCGCACAUCUUUUAUUUCAGACUUUGCAUAGAGAUUUUGUCAUUCAUGUAUUGAUGCAUGACUCGUAUGCAUCGAUUGCUACUGAACAGAAGGUUUUGUGAUUUUCACAGUGUUGUACUCGAUGCAGAGGCUUAUGUACGAUGCUUUACUGGACAUUAGAGCGAAGACAAUGCUAAUUAUAUAGCUUAAAUCAUUCAUGAAACACACAUAACAGAAUAAAGAGUGAGUCCCAUCGUACCCGAGAUUUACCUAAAGGAAGACUUUAUUUGGGUCUACGUUAUACUUGCACCCACUAAUACCCUCUAGGUGUAGGCGGCAACACCUUUUAGAAACCUAGUCAAUUCUUUUAUAAUUUAAUUUAAGAUAAUUUGAACUCUCAUGAAAACCUUUCUUUAAUUCUUUGGGGUAAUUUUGUUGCCAUAAAUGUUUUUCCCCUUUUCCUUUGGAACAAACCAUAUACGAAAUAGCUGCGAUUGUACUGAUCACACAAUUUGCUAUCAUUAAAAUUAAUUCAAGGUAAAGAAUUCUCUCACAGUGCGUACCAAGACGCCGAGAAUUUAAGAUACCCACAAUCAUGAGAUUCACAUUCGAUUCUCAACCCCAAAUGCGCCCAUCGUAAGAUAUAAUUAAACGAUACCCCACUAAAGGCGUUGUAUCACACGGGAAAGAUUUUAAUCGUCCACUCUACAUAAAGCCCAUCACACGUCAUUUCAAGUAAUCUUUAAUUCACACCCGCACUACCACAUUUUUUUUGCGUGCUUAGACAUGAAUAUCAAUUUUUUAAAUUUGUAGGCUUUUAAGGUGUAGUGUCUGCAUGCCCGUUCUGUCCUGCCCUCAUUUUUUGCGUGGCGGGGCAAGAUUUAAGGCUUGCACCCUCAACAACAUUUGCCUCGCUCUACCCCAUUUUUUGAAAGCUUUUAUGGGACCGACCUAAUAUGGACGGACAUGCCUGUUUCCCACCCUUACCCUUAUACUAUUUUUUAUUCAUUCACUAACUUGGAUGUUGGCGUAUUAACCUUGUAGGUUCAUCCUCACUUAGUUGUACCAUAAGCUCACUAUAACAAACCAGAACUCCAUCCCAUUCAAUCUUUACAUAUUUUUUGUUCCAGUUCAAAAUAUUGGCGCCGUUUUUUAGAACCGUCGUCUGAUUCUCACAAAUUUCCUGAUUGUACCAUAAGCUCACUAUAACAAACCAGAACUCCAUCCCAUUCAAUCUUUACAUAUUUUUUGUUCCAGUUCAAAAUAUUGGCGCCGUUUUUUAGAACCGUCGUCUGAUUCUCACAAAUUUCCUGUUCAUAUUCUUUUGUUUUCAAAAUAUCUAAUUGAAAUCACGAUCUCUCUUAAGAGAAUAGAUAAUAUCUGAUGUAGCUUUUGAAGUCACCACCGAUGUAUUAACUCUAACAUCACCCAUUUACUUUCAUGUACAUAUUAUUAAUGGUGGAUUGUCUAUCAAGUAAGAAGUGAGUUAAAAGCAUCCAGCGAGAAACUCUUCAAGGCUGACAAUGGUAAUUAGGAGGGAAAAUGGAGGUAGACCUAUCUUAGGGUUUCAAGACCGCAAAAAAGUUACCGGAGCUCAUAAUGUGACGCUUCCACUAGCCAUAACUGAUAUCUUUGCAAAUCACUUAGUGUCAAUGAUCUUUAUCGAUGAUGGUAGUUUUUGUGGCCUUAUAUACCUAACAUCUUCAGGAGGUUAGGAUUACAUAGAAGAAUCUCAUGUUGUGUGAAGGUAGGAAUAUUGGGUUGUAAUUACUAAACUAAUCAUAAUAAGAUUAUAUAUGUUUAGAAGAAAGAGUUAGGAACAAUCCAUAUGAUGAAUUAGAAUAAGGAGUUAUUCACCCAAUUAAUAAAACUCGAGAGCUGUAUUAGAUACACUUGGAAGGAAUUCCUAUCGAAAUAACUAAGUUUUGUGUAAUCACCCUACCGCUGACUUAAAAUAAAAUGAAAUUUGGAUCUAGAUCCACUAGAGAAUCUUCCAACAGAAUCAUUCGAACCAAAUAUUGAGGGUAAUUUUGUUUGAGUAAAAUAGUGGAAGCAUACUUAAUUGAAGACCUAAUUCAAUAUAUUUUUUUAAUGAUACUUAUGUCUUCAAAUUUUUUGAAAUGUAGAUUACCAUGUCAGCAAACACUUUGAACAUCAUUUAGUGAUAAAUCCUUGAAAAAGAAAAUUUCUCUAGGACAUAUUUUUUAGGUUGACAUCGAAACUGGAGGAUUUUCCUCAAACAUGAAAAAAAGAUUUAUUUCUUAGAGAAAGUUGUUCCUAAAGAUGAUUCGUCCAGUUCUACUCUUAGGGCUGAAAAUUCUGCUUAUAAGAAACAUGUUUAUGAUGCCUUAGAAAUUUUAUGCCUCAUGCUUGCUACCAUGAAAUUUGAAUUGCAAAAGGAACAUGAGAAUGUGUCAUAGUUUUAUAUAAUUGAACACUUAAAGAGGUUGUAUCAAGAACAAGUUAGGCAUGAGAGGUUUGAAGUAUCCAAAUCCCUUUUUCAAGGCAAGGUAGUUGUGAGAGUCCAAGUAGGUCCCCAUGUACUUAAGAUGAUUUAGUGUGUGAAGAACCUUGACAUUGCCUAAGAGCUUUAGUCAGUUUGUCCUUAAUUUCAAUAUGAAAGACAUGGACAAUUUUUUUGCCAAACCUAUUAGACAUGUUGAGAAAUGUUGAGUAGAAUUUGAAAUCAAAAGGGAAGACCAUUCUCAUGAUCAAUAAUGGAAAGAAGCAAAACAAAGGCCUACCAAGCAGGGUAAUGAAAGGAAGGGUAAUGAAGUUUUCAGGCCCAAAUCUACUACUUGUGCUUUGAAGCCUACCUGAGGUAUAACUAAGUAAGGCAUUUACUUCUAAUGUGGUAAGACUGGACAUUGAAAGAGAAACUUCCAAAGUACCAGAAAUAUCAAAAGAAUGAAGUAGAGACUUUAACUUCGGGUAUUUUUGUUAUAGAGAUAAAUUUAUCUAAUUCUGCAUCAUGGGUAUUGGAUACUGGAUGUGGUUCUCACAUUUGUAUUAAAAAGGAGUAGAGUAUUAGCAAAAGGUGAAGUUGACUUACAAGUUUACAAUGGAGAAAAUGUUGUUGCUUUAGCCGUAUGAAUUUAGUUUGAGAACUGAUAUUACAUACCUUUAACUAGAAGAAAUAUUAGUUUCGUUUCUUGUUUGGACAAGUUUGGCUUUUCAUUUAUAAUAAAGAAUAAUUGUUUCUUUAUUUAUUUAAAUUAUAUAUUUUAUGCUACUGCACAAAUGAACAAUGAAUUGUAUGUCAUUGAUCUUGAAAUUUCAGUUUAUAAUAUUAAUAUAAAAUAAUGAAACCUAACAAGUUAAAUAUGACUUAUGUACUUGUCAAAAAGUACUGGUGUGCAUGGUAUCCCUACGCAUGUAAGGGAUACUCGGAGGCCUUAGUAAAUGGCGAUAGUUAGGGAUUGGCCACUGCAGGGAGAAGCCGUGUUUGGUGAUGUUUAUGGUGUUUAUGGUGAUAAGAGAGGUCAGCUCAGAUUAGGUGAGAGGCUCUGUAUUAUGUGUUAUACUGUUUAAGUUAUGAUUUGUCUUUUAUCCUUAAAGGGUCAUAUAUUUAUAUAGGCUAUUAGGGCCUAGUGUUUAGGAAACCCUAAGAAGUAGUAACCCAUGCCCCUUAACUAGGGGAGAAUGUUGGAAACAUAUUUUUUGAGAAGUCAUGGUAUUACUAACUGUAUAUGACUAAGGAAGGGGUAGGGGUAUGAUACACAUUGUAUGCCCUAAAGGCGAGCCCAUUAUGCUCCAUAAAGGUAACGCCUGAGCGAUGCCUUACUAGGAGAGGACCCUGACGUCACCCUUAUUAGGGACUCUUACAAAUACAACACUACAGAGUCCCUCAAGAGCUUACAAAGUGUGAAGUGUUUUAAGGCUUGUUUUAGGUUUUGUACCAUGGUCUAGGGUGAGUCCUUUGGUUGAAGACAAUCUUCUUGAUGAAAGGUGAUUCGCUCAACUAAAUGCGUCCUUCUUAAUGGGAGGCGUGUCCCUCAACUUUAGGGUGAGUCCCCUAGUUGAAGGAGAUCUUUUUAAUUGGGGAUGAUCCCCUUAGUUAGAGGUGAGUCACAACCACACUUCCAGAUGUCUCAUGUUUAGCUAGGAUGUCAGUUGGGGAUGUCAAACAUCAAUCACUCAGAUGUACAUGUUUGUUUCUAUUAAAUGUAAGUAAUGAUGGCCUAUUUUUCAAGACACUAAACGUCAGUGCCAUGUGCUAGAAGUGUGCUGAGUUUUUUAAAAUUUGGAGGGAGCCUAAAAGGCUUGUUUAGUGCUCUUGUGCUUUCAAUUCCCUUAUAAAAGCUCCUCCUUUUAUUUUAUUGCUUAUUUUAUUCUUACGACUUCUACAAACUCUUCCACAAUCUUCCCAACUUCCCUAUAAGCUCUUGGUUCCUUGUUUUCAACCUUCUCAGGUAUAAAAUUUUAUUUUCCUUUAUUUUGUAGUAGUUAUGAGUAAGGAUUGUAAGGAAAGGCUCGAAAUAUUGUUUUGGCUAGAGUCAAGUUGUAGUAUUUGAAGAUCGUAACCAUCCACUUAAUGCUUGUGAUAGUGGUGGUGAUUUCUUUUUAUUCUUCCAUUUGCUCAAGAAAAAGAGAUAAUGGUUGCCCCUUUUGUCGUGUCUAAGGAGGCCAAGGACAUUGGGCCUUUUUAUGUUUCUGACGAGCAAAUCCCUUUGUUUUGAACAUAAAUGGAGAUUUCUUCUUCAUAAGAUAAAUGGAUGGUGAUAUUGGAGGCAUGUUAACCGUAAGAAAGGGUUACUAUAGAAGUUCCUUAUGAUUGUCCCUCUUCCUAUUUCUACUUCUAUCUUCCAUUUAUUAAGGAUAUGGGGAUCUUUUUCCCCAUUUCCUCUUUUAUUGUGGAAGUCUUAAACGUCCUUAAUAUAGAGCCUUCCUAACUACCUCCUAACAAUUGCAAUUUUUUCAGGGCCGUUCAGAUAGUAUGUAAAGGUCAAAAGUUUUCCCCUAAUGUGGGGAUAUAUUUCUUAUUUUAUGCUACCUGGCCUUCAAAAGAAGGUUGGGUGUCCCUAUGCAGUAUGCCAGGAAGGGCCUAUUUUAGGCCUCACUCAAAUCAUUAAAAAAAACUAGAGAGACAUAUUCUCCCGAGUAAGGGGCGAUAAGACUAUCUCGUUGUGGUGGGGGCUAAUAUGCUAGUAAGUACCUUACACUGAGAGAGGAGAGGAUAGUUCGCCACUUGAAGAAGUUUGAGGUUAUGGAUUUGCACACAUACUGAUAUGUGACUGAAGCGAGGUGAUUACCUAGGUAAGUUUCGAAUAAUCUGGAAUUUUUUAUGGGUGUUUCCAAAUAGUGCAUGUGACCUUUCUAUUUGUCUUUCAUAUCAAAUGGAAAAGAUUACUCUCGAGAAGUGAAUGAAAAGAUGGGAAAAGAUACAAUUUGCUCGUGAGGAGACUGACAACCCCAAAGUCAUCCAUAAGGCUUUGUUGUCAAAGGUGGGAAGAGGAAAACCGAGGGCCCUCCCCCGGAUUCUCUCAAUGUGAUGGCCCAAAAAGUAGAAAAUGGAUUUUCACAACUGUUGUCAAAGAUAAUAUCAUCUCGCCUAUUUCAUGAGACGUGAAUACUAUAAGGCCGUAUGAUAACGAGGCUCCACCAACCCGAUGUUUUGUGGAGUGAUGUUGGAUUUGAUGUUAUCCAGUUUAUAGGUUCCUAUCUCCCCUUUUCAGAGAAGUUCCCUGGUGAUUAUAAGGCUCUUCAAUAUAAGUCACAUUUUGCGCUUAUUGGCAUGAAGGAUAACCUUUUAUUGAGGACGUUAGUUUUGGAGGAUGUUGAACAGAGGAGGCGAUACCAAGCUAAAAAAGAGUUGAUGGUGAAGCUAAAAAAAUAUGAUGAUGACUACAAAGAAAUCCAGAGGUUAUUGGAGGCCUUGUAGAAGGACAAAGGAACAUGGGAGAAAAAGAUGGUUGUUGUGGAGGUCGAGGAUACAAAGAUUGCUACUAAGGAUAAAUCUCUGAGAACAUAUAUGGAAAAUGCUCUUAGUUCCAAGAAGGAUUUGGAGGAUGAGGUGUCAGAUCUCAAUGAUGAUCUGAUGUCAAUCUCUGAUGUUUAUUUUCAACGGAAGAAAUAAUAGGUUUCUUUAUUCGAUCCUAAACUGGACUUGAGAAAGUUAGACUUCCUUAAUGUUUUCCAUAAUGUUCAACUGGUGGAUGAUAAGGUGUACCUCUCGGAGCCCAAUGGUUCUUCUACAUUAAUUAAUGCUCAGGAUGUUAGUGUGGCGAUGGAAUCAAGUGGAUCAGAAGCUCCCCAUCCAGAGGAUGCCUUCACAAAAGAGACAUCUCCAGAGGAGGAGUAAUGAUUGAGUUUUUUUGUUAUGUUCUUUGGCUCUUAGUUGCCUUUGUUGUAUCUCUUUUCCCCUGCGAGGGAUUUUUGUAAAAACUAAGACAACAAAGCUAGAAUUUUUAUCUCCUCAAAAGACGACAAGGAUCCCAUUUAAGGAUCUAACAUCUUCAUUUCCUCUAGGGAGGUUUUAUCCAUAACUAAUAGUUUCUUUAUAAAAAGUCACGAAUAAUAAAUGUAACUUAUUUAGAAUAAUAAAAUUAGGGGCCUAGUUAAAAUCUCUCGUCCCAUAUGAGGUACAGUGGGAAAAGACUGCACCCUAGAAAAUAACAUGCCUUUACAAACGGCAGAGAUGUAGUAAUCUCCUAAUAUGGAUGGACAUGCCCCUUUGCCACCCUUACCCUUAUACUAUUUUUCACUCAUUCACUAACUUGGGUGUUGGCGUGUUAACCUUGUAGGUUCAUCCCCACUUCGUUGUACCAUAAGCUCACUAUAACAAACCAGAACUCCAUCCCAUUCAAUCUUUACAUAUUUUUUGUUCCAGUUCAAAAUAUUGGCGCCGUUUUUUAGAACCGUCGUCUGAUUCUCACAAAUUUCCUGAUUGUACCAUAAGCUCACUAUAACAAACCAGAACUCCAUCCCAUUCAAUCUUUACAUAUUUUUUGUUCCAGUUCAAAAUAUUGGCGCCGUUUUUUAGAACCGUCGUCUGAUUCUCACAAAUUUCCUGUCCAUAUUCUUUUGUUUCCAAAGUAUGUAAUUGAAAUCACGAUCUCUCUUGAAAUAAUAGAUAAUGUCUGAUGUAGCUUUUGAAGUCACCGCCGAUGUAUUGACUCUAAGAUCACCCAUUUACUUUCAUGUAUAUCUGAUUAAUGGUGGAUUGUCUAUCAAGUAAGAAGUGAGUUAAAAGCAUCCAGCGAGAAACUCUUCAAGGUCGAAAAUGGUAAUUAGGAGGGAAAUCGGAGGUAGACCUAUCUUAGGGUUUCAAGACCGCGAAAAAACUAGAGCUCAUAAUGUGACGCUUUCAAUAGCCAUAACUGAUAUCUUUGCAAAUCAUUUAGUGUCAAUGAUCUUUAUCGAUGAUGGUAGUUUUUGUGGCCUUAUAUACCUAACAUCUUCAGGAGGUUAGGAUUACAUAGAAGAAUCUAAUGUUGUAUGAAGGUGGGAAUAUUGGGUUUUAAUUACCAAACUAAUCAUAAUAAGAUUAUAUAUGUUUAGAAGAAAGAGUUAGGAACAGUCCAUAUGAUGAAUUAGAAUAAGGAGUUAUUCACCCAAUUGAUAAAACUUGAGAGCUGUAUUAGAUACACUUGGAAGGAAUUCCUACCUAAAUAACUAAGUUUUGUAUAAUCACCCUACCGCUGACUUAAAAUAAAAUGAAAUUUGGAUCUAGAUCCACUAGAAAAUCUUCCAACAGAAUCAUUCGAAUCAAAUGUUGAGGGUAAUUUGGUUUGAGUAAAAUAGUGGGAGCAUACUAAUUAAAUAACUAAUUCGAUAUGCUUUUUUAAUGAUACUUAUCUCUUCAAAAAUUUUGAAAUGUAGAUUACUAUGUCAGCAAACACUUCGACCAACAUUUAGCGAUAAAUCCUUGAUAAAGAAAAAUUCUCUAGGACAUAUUUUGUAGGUUGACACCGAAAUUGGAGGAUUUUCCUUAAACAUGAAAAAAAAGUUUUAUUUCUUAGAGAAAGUUGUUCCUAAAUAUGAUUCGUCCAGUUCUACUCUUAGGGCUGAAAAUUAUGCUUAUAAGAAUCAUGUUUAUGAUGCCUUCGAAAUUUUAUGCCUCAUGGUUGCUACCAUGAAAUUUGAAUUGCAAAAGGAACAUGAGAACGUGUCAUCAUUUGAUAUAAUUGAAAACUUAAAGAGGUUGUGUCAAGAACAGGCUAGGCAUGGGAGGUUUGAAGUAUCCAAAGCCCUUUUUCAAGGCAAGGUAGUUGUGAGAGUCCAUGUAGAUCCCCAUGUACUUAAGAUGAUUUAGUGUGUGAAGAACCUUGACAUUGCCUAAGAGCUUUAGUCAGUUUGUCCUUAAUUUCAAUAUGAAGGAUAUGGACAAAAAAAUUGCCAAACCUACUAGACAUGUUGAGAAAUGUUGAGUAGAAUAUGAAAUCAAAAGCGAAGACCAUUCUCAUGAUCAAUAAUGGAAAGAAGAAAAACAAAGGCCUACCAAGCAGGGGAAUAAAAGGAAGGGUAAUGAAGUUUUCAGGCCCAAAUCUACUACUUGUGCUUUUAAGCCUAUCUGAGGUAUAACUAAGUAAGGCAUUUACUUCUAUUGUGGUAAGACUAGACAUUGAAAGAGAAACUUCCCAAAGUACCAGAAAUAUAAAAAGAAUGAAGUAGAUACUUCAACUUUGGGUAUUUUUGUUAUAGAGAUAAAUUUAUGUAAUUCUGCAUCAUGGGUAUUGGAUACUGGAUGUGGUUCUCACAUUUCUAUUAAAAAGGAGUAGAGUAUUUGCAAAAGGUGAAGUUGACUUACAAGGUUACAAUGGAGAAAAUGUUGUUGCUUUAGCCGUAUGAACUUAGUUUGAGAACUGAUAUUACAUACCUUUAAUUAGAAGAAAUAUUAGUUUCGUUUCUUGUUUGGACAAGUUUGGCUUUUCAUUUAUAAUAAAGAACAAUUGUUUCUCUAUUUAUUUAAAUUAUAUAUUUUAUGCUACUGCACAAAUGAACAAUGAAUUGUAUGUCAUUGAUCUUGAAAUUUCAAUUUAUAACAUUAAUAUAAAAUAAUGAAACCUAACAAGUUAAAUAUGACUUAUGUACUUGUCAAAAAGUACUGGUGUGCAUGGUAUCCCUACGCAUGUAAGGGAUACUCGGAGGCCUUAGUAAAUGACGAUGGUUAGGGAUUGGCCAAGCAGGGAGAAGCCGUGUUUGGUGAUGUUUAUGGUGUUUAUGGUGAUAAGAGAGGUCAGCUCACAUUAGGUGAGAGGCUCUGUAUCAUGUGUUAUACUGUUUAUGUUAUGAUCUGUCUUUUAUCCUUAAAGGGUCAUAUAUUUAUAUAGGCUAUUAGGGCCUAGUGUUUAGGAAACCCUGAGAAGCAGUAACCCAUCCCCCUUAACUAGGGGAGAAUGUUGGAAACAUAUUUUCCGAGAAGUCAUGGUAUUACUAACUCUAUAUGACUAAGGAAGGGGUAGGGGUAUGAUACACAUUGUAUGCCCUAAAGGCGAGCCCAUUAUGCUCCAUAAAGGUAGCGCCUGAGCGAUGCCUUACUAGGAGAGGACCCUGACGUCACCCUUAUUAGGGACUCUUACAAAUAUAACACUACAGAGUCCCUCAAGAGCUUACAAAGUGUGAAGUGUUUUAAGGCUUGUUUUAGGCUUGUACCAUGGUCUAGGGUGAGUCCUUUGGUUGAAGACAAUCUUCUUGAUGAAAGGCGAUUCACUCAACUAAAUGUGUCCUUCUUAAUGGGAGGCGUGUCCCUCAACUUUAGGGUGAGUCCCCUAGUUGAAGGAGAUCUUUUUAAUUGGGGAUGAUCCCCUUAGUUAGAGGUGAGUCACGACCACACUUCCAGAUGUCUCAUGUUUAGCUAGGAUGUCAGUUGGGGAUGUCAAACAUCAAUCACUCAGAUGGACAUGUUUGUUUCUAUUAAAUGUAAGUAAUGAUGGCCUAUUUUUCAAGACACUAAACGUCAGUGCCAUGUGCUAGAAGUGUGUUGAGUUUUUUAAAAUUUGGAGGGAGCCUAAAAGGCUUGUUUAGUGCUCUUGUGCUUUCAAUUCCCUUAUAAAAGCUCCUCCUUUUAUUUUAUUGCUUAUUUUAUUCUUACGACUUCUACAAACUCUUCCACAAUCUUCCCAGCUUCCCUAUAAGCUCUUGGUUCCUUGUUUUCAACCCUCUCAGGUAUAAAAUUUUCUUUUCCUUUAUUUUGUAGUAGUUUUGAGUAGGGAUUGUAAGGAAAGGCUCGAAAUAUUAUUUUGGAUAGAGUCAAGUUGUAGUAUUUGAAGAUCGUAACCAUUCACUUAAUGCUUGUGAUAGUGGUGGUGAUUUCUUUUUGUUCUUCCGUUUGCUCAAGAAAAAAGAGAUAAUGGUUGCCCCUUUUGUCGUGUCUAAGGAGGCCAAGGACAUUGGCCAUUUUUAUGUUUCUGACGAGCAAAUCCCUUUGUUUUGAACAUAAAUGGAGAUUUCUUCUUCAUAAGAUAAAUGGAUGGUGAUAUUGGAGGCAUGUUAACCGUAAGAAAGGGUUACUAUAGAAGUUCCUUAUGAUUGUCCCUCUUCCUAUUUCUACUUCUACCUUCCGUUUAUUAAGGAUAUCGGGAUCUUUUUCCCCAUUUCCUCUUUUAUUGUGGAAGUCUUAAACGUCCUUAAUAUAGAAUAAUAAAACAUAACAAGUUAAAUAUGACUUAUGUACUUGUCAAAAAGUACUGGUGUGCAUGGUACCUGUCGCAUCUCGCAAAAUACGAUUCCUCGCGAUGGUCGCGGAAAAAAGUAGUUCGAACAGAGUCGCCACCGAACUUUUUUUAUCCUAAUGAAGCAAUAGGAAAAUAUCGAUAAAAACCUCUGAAAAACAGAAUAAUGGUCGUCGCAACCAUAUUCGGGUUCGGGAGUCGAUUACGCAAGGGAAAAGUAUUAGCACCCCUAAUGUCCGUUGUACUCAACGGGACCCUUUUAGUUUAAUUUGUGAUUUGAAUGUUAGCUAAUGUUGUUUGUUUUCUUCGAGUGAUAAAAAUAUUGAAAAGUGAUGGAUGGAAACCUCAGAAGGGGGGAAAAGGGAGGUUUUUUAUUAGUGUGCUCGCCAAGAUCUCGCAAUUUCGUGCAUACGUAUCCAUAUGGUGCAAUAAGGAAAUUAGAGCAUUCGUAGUUCGGGGAACUACAGUUUGUUGGUUUCUUUUAGUGAACAAUUGUUUAGAUCGUGUUCUAAAGGCUAAACAUUGGCUUGUUUACUCUCGGUGGAGGCUUAAGCACUAGUUUGUUAUGCAUAUUAGAAAGGAUUAAACAGUGUUCUUUCCGAAAAGAGUUUUAAUCACACUGGGGUGACUGUAACACCUCAAAAUUUGCCCUCCUCUCUUGGGACUAGCUUAACAUAUUGCAUUGCAUUUCUUAGGUCAUUAGUCAUUAGCAUGUUGCAUAUCAUGUGGCUACAUUGAGCAAGUCAUCCUCCUAAGAUGCCCUCCUCUCUUGGGACUAGCUUAACAUAUUGCAUUGCAUUUCUUAGGUCAUUAGUCAUUAGCAUGUUGCAUAUCAUGUGGCUACAUUGAGCAAGUCAUCCUCCUAAGUCUUGAUCAGAAGAUAAUAGGUUGGUGUAUGCAAGCCUGAGGGUUUCAUUGAUUGAAUUGAUCAUUAAUCAUCUGAGGAUGUGUGGUACAAAUUAGGGUUUCUUGAUUCUCAAGGAGAUUGAUCUUCAUCUUGGUUGCAAUGAUACAUCAUCAUCAUCAUCAUGGUUUUGAUAUCAUCCAAGAGAUUGAUCAGAUACUUUGGGAUUAGGGUUUUGACCACUGGUCAACCCUAAUCAGUUGAAUCAUCUGCAUUGUGCUAAUCAGGGCUUGGCAAGGAGAUGGGGUUUUCAAUGGAUAUGGGGAUCAUCAUGUGAUUAUAUUGAGCUUAUGGAAGCUAGGGUUUCAUCAUUGAGCCAUUUCAUCAGGAGAUUGAAGCUCAACUUGAUCAGUGCAUAGCCAGAUUCAUCUAUAAGUCAGAAAAGUCAACUGUGGUCAACUGUGCCUAAGAUGAUGGAUUUGGAGGUGGGAGAGGGUUAGAGACACUUCAUUCAUGUCUAAACAAGUUUCAUUUGACAUUUCAAACAUCAAGAAUGAAGAAAAUAAAGUCAGAUGGAAAGUUUCCAAAAAUUCGUCCACUGGACAUUAACCUUUGACGGUUUUUACCUUAGUUUUUCACCUCAAAAUUACGUGUCCAAAAAUGCUUCAAAUGAAAUUUUGUUCAACAUGAAAGUUGUAGAUCUUGCUCUCACCUUUCCCAAAAGUCCAAGAACCCUCAUUUCUCAUGUGUGGUUGGCAAGUUAUGAUCAAAUCAUUUUCAGAAAAUGUUGAAAUUCAAGAGGCCAUAACUUUUGAAUGGAAAGGCCAAAUUGGGUGAUUCUUUUUUGAGCAAGUCACAUUUGAUGUGUACUAUCAUGAUGCAUCAUCACAUUUCAUCAAAAAUCAUCCUAGCAAAAGGUCAUUUUUCAAGUGUUCAUUUUAAAAAUUGGUGGGAAAAAUAGUGAAUUUUCAAAAUACAAGGCAUUUGCAUACAAAACCUUUUCUAACACAUCAUAAGCAUCAAAUAUGACUUGCUCUAACUGGUUUUGUACUGUUGCAUUGGCUGCAAUUGGAAAAGGGCAUUUUGGCCAAUUCAUGAAAAUUCAUUUUUGCUUAAUCACUUCCAAUUUGCCUAAUUGUGAUUAACACAUGGAUUAGCACAUGGUAUAAAGCAUUAAUCAUAACAGAAACUGAAUAAUCACAUUUCAUUUCUCAGAUCUAACAAACUUUUCAUCCAAAAACCUCUCAAUUUUCUUCAAACUUCUUCACACUUUUUCGCCAUUUUCCAUUGAAUUGCUUCAUUCUUUUUGCUGUUUCUUGUGUGAUCUCUCUUCUGCAGGACUUUGUGUACAUCUGUUUCACCAAAUCGUGGCCAAAGCAUUGAGGAAUUGGAACUGUUGAAAUCUCACUCAUCCAUGGCAUCUUGAGGAUUCUUCAAUCUGGAGCAUAGUUGAGCUACAAUACAUACUUCAUUCAGCUUCUACAUCAUCGAGCAUCAUCUGUUUUGGCAUUAGAGACCUUGAAUUCACCAAAUUCAACAGCUGCUAUCUUCAAAGGUUAGAUUUCGAUUUCAAUAAUUGCUAAAAUCAUGAUAUGGCUUGUGUAGAUCUAAGUUUGUAGAGCACGUUGCAACUUGUGGUUUUGAUUUCCAUGCUGAAUUGAAUGAGAUAUUUGGAUUUGAACAUUGGAAGGUGAAACUAUUUUUGCUCGAUCCGUGAAGCAUGGUUAGAGUUAGGUCGAAUGCUUGUUAGUUUUGUGAUCUAGGUUGAACGUCGGUCAUUUUGAUAUAUGGCAUGAUAAUUUUAGUGAAAAUUUGUUCAUGUGGAUUUUCUGGUGAUGAACACUUUGAAUGAUGAAGAACUCGUGUCCAGGAAGCGUUUUGAUCUUGUUUUGCCAUGCUUCGCGUUUGAAUUCUGUUUACCGCGCCUUAGAGCCAAUCACACGCUGCCAUGNNNNNNNNNNNNNNNNNNNNNNNNNNNNNNNNNNNNNNNNNNNNNNNNNNNNNNNNNNNNNNNNNNNNNNNNNNNNNNNNNNNNNNNNNNNNNNNNNNNNNNNNNNNNNNNNNNNNNNNNNNNNNNNNNNNNNNNNNNNNNNNNNNNNNNNNNNNNNNNNNNNNNNNNNNNNNNNNNNNNNNNNNNNNNNNNNNNNNNNNNNNNNNNNNNNNNNNNNNNNNNNNNNNNNNNNNNNNNNNNNNNNNNNNNNNNNNNNNNNNNNNNNNNNNNNNNNNNNNNNNNNNNNNNNNNNNNNNNNNNNNNNNNNNNNNNNNNNNNNNNNNNNNNNNNNNNNNNNNNNNNNNNNNNNNNNNNNNNNNNNNNNNNNNNNNNNNNNNNNNNNNNNNNNNNNNNNNNNNNNNNNNNNNNNNNNNNNNNNNNNNNNNNNNNNNNNNNNNNNNNNNNNNNNNNNNNNNNNNNNNNNNNNNNNNNNNNNNNNNNNNNNNNNNNNNNNNNNNNNNNNNNNNNNNNNNNNNNNNNNNNNNNNNNNNNNNNNNNNNNNNNNNNNNNNNNNNNNNNNNNNNNNNNNNNNNNNNNNNNNNNNNNNNNNNNNNNNNNNNNNNNNNNNNNNNNNNNNNNNNNNNNNNNNNNNNNNNNNNNNNNNNNNNNNNNNNNNNNNNNNNNNNNNNNNNNNNNNNNNNNNNNNNNNNNNNNNNNNNNNNNNNNNNNNNNNNNNNNNNNNNNNNNNNNNNNNNNNNNNNNNNNNNNNNNNNNNNNNNNNNNNNNNNNNNNNNNNNNNNNNNNNNNNNNNNNNNNNNNNNNNNNNNNNNNNNNNNNNNNNNNNNNNNNNNNNNNNNNNNNNNNNNNNNNNNNNNNNNNNNNNNNNNNNNNNNNNNNNNNNNNNNNNNNNNNNNNNNNNNNNNNNNNNNNNNNNAUGAACUUAGAUCUCAAUCAAGCCAUAUAAGAUCAGGCAUGUGAGAAUCGAAAAUCUAGACCAUUAUGAUGAUGCAGAGUGUGAUUUCGCCAGUCAAGUCCAAAAGCGAAAAGCAAUACUGAUGUGACAGGAAAGAUGAAUGGAGAGUUCUUUUGUUCGAAAACAACUCCGUUGUAGACAUCGUCAAUGCGCAUAUUAUGUUCUGAUGCACAAGUCUCCAAUCAGAUCUUUGGCCAAGUUUUGAUCAAACAGUUCUUCAAGGUCUGCCGAAGAGAGAAUCACACAAGAAAAACGAGCGUUGAGUCGUCCCUCUGCUCACACCACUGUGUUGAUGCAUUGGGAUAUUAACCCAAGAUCUUGUACAGUUGUACAGUUGAGUCAGAGUCAUGAGUGUAGAAGGGUUCCCACUUUCUGAACCCACACUUCUUUGUCUGAAGCUCUCCCUGGCCAGGGAUAAGAGUUGUGAGGCACACCCCUCACUUCCACUUCAUCUGGCUUCACCCUGACUCUCAAUGUCAGGGUUAAGAGCUAACAUCACCCCGACACAGUUGUGUUGCUUUUGCAACUUAACCCUUGAUUGAGCCCAUCUGUCUGUAUAUAGUGUGUGCUAACUGCGAAUGUUUGAUUUGCUUUGUGUAUGCUUGCAUGCUUUGCUUUUUCCUGGUUAGGAUUAGCUUGCUGUUGUGCCAGUAGAUAGAAACCAUAACAUAGGGCAAUGAUGCAUGAUAACAUCUAGGCUCGAGUCCAGCUCCCUAGUAGUGUGUCUCCCUUUGUAUCUGGUUAGAAUUUCUUUCUCGUUCAGGGGAACUACGUCGCCCUAGUCCAGCUCCCUAGUAGUGUGUCUCCCUUUGUAUCUGGUUAGAAUUUCUUUCUCGUUCAGGGGAACUACGUCGCCCUGAUCCUCAUACCAGAUGAGGUACGUAGGCAGGAGACCGUGCGAGGUCUCUUCGGGCACCCUUUUUCUUUUUGUGUGUGUUUGCUUGACAGUUGCUAGGCUCGAGUUCCCGACUCCUUAGUAGCUUGUUGCUUGUUUGUUCUUGCGUGUGUAGGAGAUGGAUGUAAGCCCAGCCAUUGGCAUUCCGUAUCCUCUUGUUGUGUGCUUGGAGUCCGGUAUAAGUCCAUCAAGUGGCAUCUGGUUUCCAGCGUGGGUCUGUUUGGUUCGGAAGCUGAUGUAAGUCCAGCGAUUGGAGUUCGGGUUCCAAGUUUGCCUGUGUUUGUGUGUGUUUUGUUUGGCGUGCGUGAGCCGAACUACGGUAGCUCUGAUUCUCGUUCCAGACGAGAUACGUAGGCAUAGGAUGCGAUAUCCUAGCGAGCCCUCUUCCCCCUUUUCCCACCUGUGUUGUUUCAGUGUGUGUGUGUAUGAUGUUUGUUUUAGCAACCUUUUCUUUCAUUUAGAGCGUGGAUCCCGUUGAGUACGACGGAUGCGUAGGGGUGCUAAUACCUUCCCUUCGCAUAACCGACUCCCGAUCCCAUUCUCUUUGGUCGCGAGACCAGGCUUUUCCCAGGUUUACUUCGAGCGUUUCCUUUCCCUUUUUUUGGGAUAAAUAACGCGCGGUGGCGGCUCUGUGUUGUUUUGCUUUUAGCCCGCCGGUUGUUUUUCUCGUAUGCGACAGUGACAAGUUGGAUUAAUUUGUUGGAUGUUUUGUUUGAUUGGUUUCGAUCGCACGGGGGCAAGGACAGAUAGAUUUGAUGUGUUAAGAUAUUAUUGUUGGACGACGAUUACUCAGAUAGUCGAGUAAGACAACUCGUAUCUAAGGCGCUAGACCAUCUCCAUUUUCAUCCUUAAUUAUGAAAGGAUUGGAUAAUGUUAAGGAGUUUUAAGUGGAUAACGAUUACUCGGAUAGUCGAGUACGACAACUCGUAUCCUAAUAGUCGAGGAGAGGAAUCGAAGGCUCUAGACCAUCUCCCUUUUCAUCCUUAAUUGUAAACGGAGUUGAUAAUGGUUAAGGAUAUUUUAAGUGGAUGACGAAUACUCGGAUAGCCGAGUAAGACAACUCGUAUCCUAAUAGUCGGGAAAGGGAAUAGAAGACUCUAGACCACUUUCUUUUUCAUCUUUAAUUAAUUAUGAAAAUAUAUCUGUGUAUGGUUGAUGUAUUUUAGAUAAACGACAAGUACUCGAAUGGUUGAGUAAGACAACUCAUAUCCAGGUAUUUGAGGAGAGGAAUCGAAGGCUCUAGACCAUCUCCCUUCUUGUAUAGUUUAUUGUGAAAAUGAUUUGAUUAAGUUAUAAGUUUGUGGAAAAAAUGACAAUUGUUUGACUAACCGAGUAAGAGAACUCGUAUUCAAACAAUCGAGGAGAGGAGUUGAAGGCUUAAAACCAUUUACCUUUUCAUUUAGUUUAUUAUAAGAAUGUUUUGAUUUAAUCGGGUUUAGAAGUUUGUGAAGAAACGACGAUUGUCUAACUAACCGAGUAAGAGAACUCGUACUCAAACAAAUGAGGAGAGGAGUUGAAGGCUCAAAAACCAUCUCCCUUUUCAUUUCCAUAUGGAGUUUUAAUUGUAAUUAGGUGGAUAGAAAGGAAAACUAUUUGACUAGCCGAGUAAGAGAACUCGUAUUCAAAUAAUCGAGGAGAGGAGUUGAAAACUCAAAAGCACCCCCCCUUUUCAUUUCCAAAUGAAAUGGUAUUUAAUCGUGAUUAGGUGUUUUAAUUGAGUUUAAAUAAAAAUACUCGAUAUUGGAUCGAGGUUUUAAAUUUGUGUUUUGUGAAUAAAUUGGAUUUUAUUUAGUGAAUCAAUCAUCUACUCGAUUAAUUAAAGUCGAAUAGGUCUCAUUGUAAGAAAUCCCAAAAGUAAGCUAUGUGAGGUUUAUGGCGAUGCGUAAAAGCAAUCGACUUACAAGGGUAUUUGGAAAAUGGGCUCGACAUUGAAUCGAGAAUUGCGUGAUUUAUUGGUUUUAUCAUGGUUUUGUAUUGAUGAUGAAAUGGAGUGACAUCGGGCUUGUUUUAUGAAAUGGAAGAUGAUGGUGAAGUAAAUCGGUUCGUUUUUUUUAUUAACAAAAUUAAUUGAUUAAAAUUCAAUUAGGUCAUCUAAUUAAGGUAAUUAAAAUCAAUUAUCAAAAUUAUUUGAUUAAGAAUUAAUAUAAUUAAAUAAUAAAGUUAAUUAAAAUUAGUUAACAAAAUCAUCUUAAUUUAAUCAAAACUUUAAUUAAUUGAUUUUAAAAGGAAACAAGUGACAAUAUUGAAUGUAAAAUAAUUGAAUUGAAUCGGUGUGCUCAAAACCGGUUUGUGCAAAAUGACAACACAAUUAAUGUCAUUCGCAAUAUCAUAACACGGUGAAAUGCUCUAUUAAUUUAUUGAGACUUUGGUGGCAUAACGACACUUAAAAGUCGAAUCCACGAAUUAUAAGUUUGAUUAAGCAACGCAAAGAGAAGCAACAACCACAUGGGAUGGUUUGAGACAGGGACUUCGCCUAGAAUAACAGACAGAGGGACCACAUCCAAAAUUUCAUCAUCGAGAAAGUUCAUGGAAGAAGUGCUAUCCUUGUGAGUAGGCUUAGUAGUUUUUGAACCAGAUGGAGUUUGAUGUUGUGACAUCUUGUUGUUUUUGUGGAAAAAUUUCAGUUGCCCUAGCAGAGGAGUUUGAGGAAGAAGCAGGGAGUUGGAAAUGUUUGAGUAGAGGUUGCGUGUGGAAAGGUAAUAGAUGGUAUUUCCAAGAAUAGGUGAUUAUUUACCAUAAAGGGGGCGCUUUAUUUUAAGUAAGCAGACAAUAAUUUGAUUACCUUUUCCACUCCAUAUUAAUUGCAACAAAUUCUCAUAAAUACAAAUCCCUAAUUUCCCUCUUAGAAAUUCAAAUUGAUUUGCAUCCAAGGCCUUUGUAAAAAUAUCAGCUAACUGCAUCUCAGUAACAACAUGCUUCAGGGAUACAAUUUUAUUUUCCAUGAGUUUUCUAAUAAAAUGGUGACGAAUAUCAAUAUGUUUUGUCCUACUGUGCUGAAUAGGAUUUUUGGAAAUGUUUAUAGCACUCAGGUUGUCAUAGUACAAUGUCAUGAUAUCUUGUGUGACAUUGUAUUCAGUCAACAUUUGUUUCAUCCACACCAGUUGAGAGCAACUACUUCCAGUUGCUAUGUAUUCAGCUUCAGCAGUGGACAGAGACACACAAUUUUAUUUCUUACUAAACAAUGAUAUUAAGUUGUUCCCUAAGAAGAAGCAUCCUCCUGAUGUGCUUUUCCUAUCAUUAGCACUUCCAGCCCAAUCAGCAUCACAAUAUCCAGUCAGCACAGAUCCAGAUCCAUGAGUGUAUAGCAUCCCAUAGUCACUCGUGCCAUUGACAUAUUUCAGGAUCCUUUUCACUUGGUUUAUGUGACUCACCUUUGGUUCAGCUUGAUAUCUAGCACAAACACCUACAGCAAAAGCAAUGUCAGAUCUGCUUGCUGUGAGAUAUAGCAAACUCCCUAUCAUGCUUCUGUAGAGACUUUGAUCCACACUGACACCAUUUUCAUCUUUAGACACUUUCAGAUGAGUAGAAGCAGGUGUCCUUUUGUGACUUGCAUUCUCCAUGCCAAACUUCUUAACAAUAUUUUUGGCAUAUUUUCUUUGAGAUAGAAAGAUAGAAUCUUCCAUUUGCUUGACUUGUAGCACAAGAAAAUAGGUUAGUUCUCCAACAAGGCCCAUUUCAUAUUCAUACUGCAUUUGUUUAACAAAAUGUUCAACCAUCUUAUUUGACAUCCCACCAAACACAAUAUCAUCCACAUAUAUCUGAGCCACCAUGAGUUUUCCUCCUUCAUUUUUGACAAAUAAGGUCUUAUCAAUGCCUCCCUUCCUGUAUCCAUUGUCAAUGAGAAACACUGUGAGUCUAUCAUACCAAGCCCUAUGAGCUCUAUUUCAACCCAUAGAGGGCUUUCCUCAACUUAUACACAUGCUUUGGAAGAUUUGGCGUCUGUAAACCCUUUAGGUUGUUCAACAUACCUUCUCAUUUAGCAACCAUUCGAAGGCACUUUUCACAUCCAUUUGGAACAGUUUAACUUCAUAAUACAUGCCACUCGAGCAGUAAUCUAAUGUCUCCAGGCGAGCUACAUGGAAAAUGUUCAUCAAAGUCAACUCCUUCAACUUGAGUGUAUCUUGUUGCUACCAAUCUUGCUUUUUUAGUAACCACCCCUUGUUCAUCAGUUUUUCUUGUAAACCCACUUUGUUCAAUAACAUUUAUUCCUUCAGUCUUUAACCAAUUCCCAUACUUCAUUUCUCUUGAAUUGGCCUACUCUUCCUGCAUGGCAUUAAUCCACAAUUCAUCAGUUAAGGCUUCUUUUGACAUUCUUGGCUCAAUCUUGGACACAAAACAACCAUGUGAGAUCAUUCCCUUGAUCUGAUGGUGACCCCUUUAUUUGGGUCUCCUAUAAUGAGAUCUUUCGGAUGAUCCUUCUGAAUUCUGAUAGAGGGUCCCUUAUUAAUUUUAUCAGCUUCAGGUUCAGCUUGAGUGGGUUCACUCUCAUUGCUUUUUUCCAGGAGAUCAGCUGGGGCAUCAUUCAGAGAUGUUUCAAAAUCGUCUGUGACAUCAGUCUCUUGAUCAUCAACAACAACAUUGAUAGAUUCCAUCAUUACUUUUGUUCUGGAAUUAAAGACCCUAAAUGCUCUGCUGUUUGUUGAGUAACCCAGAAAUAUUCCUUCAUCACUCUUAGGGUCCAUUUUCCUUCUUUGUUCACGAUCAGUCAGAAUAUAACGUUUACUACCAAACACAUGGAAGUAUUUGACAGUAGGUCUUCUUCAUUUCCAGACUUCAUAUAAAGUAGUUGGGGUCCCUUUCUUCAAGGUUACUCUGUUGUGAACAUAGCAGGCAGUGUUCAUAGCUUCAGCCCAGAAGUGGUAAGGCAACUUCUUAACAUGAAUCAUAGCUCUGGCAGAUUCUUGGAGACUUCUAUUUUUCCUUUCUACCACACCAUUUUGCUGAGGGAUAAUGGGAGAUGAGAACUCAUGACUAAUUCCUUCAGAUGAACAGAAUCCAACAAAUUUACUGUUCUCAAAUUCUUUCCCAUGAUCACUUCUGAUUCUGAUAACCUGACUUUCUUUUUCUCUUUGAAAGUCUUAGGCAAAGAUCUUUGAACACCUCAAAUACAUCAGAUUUUUCCCUUAUAAAAUUUACCCAAGUGUAUCUGGAGAAGUCGUCCACCACCACAUAAGCAUAGCUUUUCCACCAAGACUUUCCACCUGCAUAGGUCCCAUCAAGUCCAUGUGGAGAAGUUCCAGCACUCUAGAUGUGGUGUCAUGUUUGAUCUUUGUGUGAACAUCUUCUUGUCUUUGCUUUCCAAUCUGACACUCACCACAAACUCUUCCUUCAUCAAUCUUUAAUUUUGGGAUUCCUCUGACAGCUUCAACAGAUAUAAUCCUCUUCAUUCCUUUAAGAUGCAGAUGGCCUAGUUUUUGAUGCCAUAGUUUCACUUAUUCUUCUUUGCCUAGAGUACACAUUGAUGAAUAACCAGUUUCUUGAGAACUCCACAUAUAGUAGUUGUCCUUAGACCUGACUCCUUUCAUGAUCACCUCAUUUUUUUAAUUAGUAAUCAAACAUUCAGUUUUUGUGAAGUUCACAUUUAUACCUUGGUCACACAGUUGACUGAUGCUGAUCAAGUUUGCAGUCAAUCCUUUAACAAGUAGCACAUUGUCAAGGUUAGGGACUCCAGGGCAGUUUAGCUUUCCAAUUCCCUUGAUUUCACCCUUUUCUCCAUCACCAAAGGUCACAUAGCUGGUGGCAUGAGGAUGAAGGUCAAUUAGCAGGUUUUUGCUUCCAGUCAUGUGUCUGGAGCAUCCACUGUCAAAAUACCAGUCUUCUUUGGCUGAAACUCUGAAGGAAGUGUAAGCUAUCAUGUUAGUAGCACCAGUCCUAGGAACCCAUUAUUUUCUGUUGACAGGGAUAUGGUGUUUGGGUCUAGGUUGAUGAUGAGUAGGACUAGGAUAGCCAUACAACUUAAAGCAUAAUGGUUUUAUGUGGCCAAAUUUUCCACAGUAAUGACAUCUCCAUCUUUGGUUUUUUCCUUUAUAUUGUCUUUCCUUGUGAUGUUGGGACACCUGAUGUGACAACUUUGGUUUGCUACCAGUGUGACUACACUCAGGAGUGGAUUCCUUGAACCCAAGGCCAGACUUGUCUCCUGCCAUCUUUCUAGUCUGGAGGAUUUUGUCUAAGGUGUCAGAUCCAUUGUUUAGCAUUCUGACAUACUUUGUCAUUUCAUCCAGUUUGGAGUUCAGGAACACGGCUUCGAUCUUCAACUUAGAAAUGGUUUCCAAGUGUUCUGUCUUCUCAUCCUCUAGUUGGGUUAUCAAUUUCUUCUGAUUCUCCACUUGUUGACAUACUUAUUCACUUUUGUAACACAACUUUCUAUAGGUAGUGGCUAAUUCAUCAAAGGUUACUUCAUCAUCACUUGAGUCUUCAUCAGAACCCCAUCUUCCAGUCAAGGCAGUCACAAGAUUGGUAGACUCUCCUUCUGUUUCACUUUCAUCAGACCAAGUAGCAGCGAGACUCUUUUUCUGUUUCUUGAGGUAGGUCCCACAUUCAGCUCUAAUGUGUCCAUACCAUUCACAUUCAUGGCACUGAACUCCUUUGCCUUGUUUGGAUUUUUCCUCAGAUUUUGUUCUUCUUCCAGUAUCAUUGGACCAUGUCAAAAUGAGUUGGUUCCUUGACAUAGAUUUGACCUUACAUCCAUCCUUUUCAGGAGUUUGUUGAACUGUCUCCCCAGUAAUGCUACAUCAUUUGCCAGAUCUUCAUCAGUAUCCUGACCACUUUCUUCCUCUUUCUCUUCAGUGUUUGACAUGAAGGCUAUGCUUUUGGCUUUCUUUUCAAAUCCAUCACUCAUCCCCAACUCAAAUGGUUGGAGGGAUCCAAUUAGCUCAUCCACUCUCAUAUUGCAGAUGUCUUGAGAUUCUUCUAUGGCUGUCACUUUCAUGGCAAAUCUCUUGGGAAGUGACCUGAGAAUUUUCCUCACAAGUUUUUCAUCUGGCAUCUUCUCACCCAGGGCUCCUAAGUCAUUAGCAAUUUCAAGGAUAUUCAUAUGGAAGUCAUGAAUACUUUCAUCUUCUUUUAUCCUCAAAUUCUCAAACUUCGUAGUAAGCAGUUGCAAUCUUGACAUUUUCACUCUAGAGGUACCAUCAUGAGUGGUUUUGAGAAUAUUCCAAGCAUCUUUAGCCACCUCACAGUUGUUCACCAGUCUGAAGAUGUUCUUAUCAAUCCCAUUGAAUAUAACAUUCAAUGCUUUAGAGUUUCCAAGAGCUAGUUCAUCCUCCUCCUUGGUACAUUCUUCCUCAGCCUUCUUAUCAGUUGUAACUUCUCCUUCCUUAGUAAUAACGGGAUGUUCCCAGCCUGUUAGAAUAGCCUUCCAAGCAUUAUUAUCCAAAGAUUUCAGGAAGGCUACCAUUCAAGGUUUACAGUAGUCAUAGUUAGAUCCAUCCAGAAUUGGUGGUCUGUGAACAGAUCCUCCGUCUCUAUCCAUAGUACCAGAAAGUAAUGUCCCAAGAUCUCACCCAGAACCAGAGCAAGAUGUUUGCUCUGAUACCAAUUGAAAUUCUGGUAUUAGAUAUGAGAUGUCGAAGGUAAUUUCACGACACUAAUAUCUGAACAACCACUAAAAUAUAAACAGGAUAAAAGACAAGGAAACAAUAGUACAAGUGACACAAGCAAUUGUUAACCCAGUUCGGUGCAAACUCACCUACGUCUGGGGGAUACCAAGCCAGGAAGGAAAUCCACUAAACAAAAUUAGUUCAAAGACUCUCAGUAAACAACUUCAAGUUAUAGUCUUUUCACCUAAUCUCUACCCGUGUGACUUCUAUAUAAGAACUGUUAGAUAAGAGACCCUACUCACUCCCCCUCAAUCAAAGCAGUGAUAUAAAAACAAAUAUUACAAAGAAAGAAAAGACACUCUUCAAGAACACAUACUUGAUCUUGCUUAAAAGCUUCAACCAAGUAAACACACACUCAUGCUUCAAAGCUUAGAGUGGACAAAUUACAACACAAAAGUCAGUCCAAUUCAAUGAUCAAUAGGAUGAAUGAAUGGCUCACAAUACACAAGCUCACACAAGACUAAAACCCUUAUUCUCUCUCACUAUUUCGUUCGUUUUCUUGUGUGUUAAAACCAGGUUUUACAUGGCCUUUAAAUAGAAAGGCUCACAAUACACAAGCUCACACAAGACUAAAACCCUUAUUCUCUCUCACUAUUUCGUUCGUUUUCUUGUGUGUUAAAACCAGGUUUUACAUGGCCUUUAAAUAGAAGCUUUUGAAUGGGCUUGGAUAUCAUAAAACCCUAAAUCUAUUUUCCUUUCGUAUCUUCUUAUUCACGACAGCUGAUCAUAUCUUUUUAGAAAAUAAAUCAAUCUGAUUUUAAUUCAAAUUACUCCUUGAAUGGCGCGUUCAAUCUCCACAUCAAUUACACACAGAUUUGCAUGAGAAGCUCAAUCUUAAGAUACAUAACAUUCAGACUAAAUGUUAUGUGUACACAUGUCUUAACAUCGGGUCUGACAUCUCAGUUAAAUCCUGCACAACCAUAUUUAAACAUACUAUAGGAAGCUGAUAUCACAUGUCAAGACAACAUGCGUGAGAACUUGUGAUAACUCUAGGUUUUAUCAAAAUUGAUGCCAACACAUAUAACUAACAAAGUUUCAUUCCACAGUAGUCCUUGAUUGCCUUGGUUUCGCUAGUCCUUGAUCAUUGGCGAUCCAAGUCUAUUUCACUUUCAAUGUCUUGACAAUUCACCCAUUGAUCUUUCGUUUGUUCAAUCAUGUCAUUCAUAGUACAUUCGAGUUUACUAAGCCUUGGUCAUGGUAUAUGGUUCGUUGGAUUUCUACAAUAGUCAUUUCCAUUAGUCCAUACAAUUCAUUACAUUCAAUCAAGUCUAUAGUUCAUAUCAAUUCAAUUUCAUUCAAUUCAAUACAAGUUCAACACAAAUGUCAUUUUCAUUCACAAUUUGUUCAUUUCAUUACAAGGAUUUCCAUGUUCGUGCAAAAAAUCACAAUUUGGCCAAAAUUUGCUACAAUUGACUUUUGGUCAACAAUUGACUUUUUGGUCAACCAGUUGACCAAAGUCAAAUGACCCUCCCUUGACCCCUAAGACGUAUUUCCAUAAAUUUUGCCUUGAUUCGUCACUAAAAUUCAUGUUUUCCUUUGAUUUCUUCUUGGCCAAGUAACUUGGUCCAUGACUUAGUCCAUGUCCAGGUCAGACCACUAAAUGGACCAGCCUGACCAUCACUUGAACCUGCAGCUUGCCAGUCAGACCACCAAUUGAACCUACAAGAAACCUCAAUCAACAAUACAUUUGCCAUAUAUAAACCCUGAUUCAUUACACUAUUCAAAAUCCCAUAAACAAAUUUCAUUCAUUUGCAUUAACAAUCCAAUUACAUUCAAAAUUCUAUUCUCAUACAUAAACCAUUGAUUUACCAUUCAUCUUCCAAUACAAUAUUUCAAUCCAAAUUACAAAUUACAACCACAAUAAAUACACAGUUUAAGUUCCAUCACAAAUCCAUUCCAUUUGAAGCAAAAGUUUAAUGCACCUCCCACACGACUAUGAUUCGUAGCAUAACACCACAAUUUAAAUACACAUUCCACAUGGCCCGUGACAGCCCUGCAAAUUCAUUUACCUACAAAAAUCCAAACGCAUAAUAACAUUCACCCUGCAACAAUUUUCAUAAUAGGGCAAAAACAAUUCAAUAUGUAAUUGCAUAACAUAGCAAACAUUGAUCAAUAACAAAAUGGAAUUCAACCAAACAAGGAUUUCAAUUAACUUCAUUCAUUUUCACUAACCAUUUCACUUCACACUAACAAAACUCUUCUAACAACUAACUUCCCUUCAACUAACGGAUUGACUCUACAUAACUAAUAACCUAACUGUUUUUAACAGUUAGUUAACAGUUAACAGACGCGUAACAAAAUUGCACAGAUGGAAACUAACAAACCUAACUGAUCCAACAUAAUAGACAUCCUAUAUAAGCUCCCAAAUCUCAUUGUAACUUGGAGUUUUUGGAAGCUACAAUUCAUUCCUCUCCAAAUUCUCAGGAUUUCAUUCUCUUACAUUGAAACGAUUCAUUCCUGCAAAAUUCUCUCCCUCACAUUUCCACUAUCCAGAAAUUCACAGAGAUCAUCACACUCACGAUUCUUCAAGAAAAAAGCACUAGAAGCAUUGAGAAGAAUUAUAAGGAGAAAGAAAGAGUUCAAGGGAAGAGGAUCUCGUACCUGACGCCGACUCCAUUCUGGUGAGUCUCCAUUUCAUUUCUUCAUUGUUUCGCAAUAUAGAAGUUACCAAUGUGUAGCUAUAGAUUGGGGGAGUCAAAGCCCUGACCUCUAUGGAUUUGACUAUGGACGAGCAUUGUUUAAUUUCAACUUGAAGACCUAGGGUCCUUACCUCUUUUGAUUCGAUUCGAGCAUAUCCGAUUGAAUUAGACGUAGAUAUAGUGAUUUCUGGAUUCAGUGUAGAAAACUGAUUUAGGAGAUAUGUUUAAUUGAGAUUCUAGAGGCGCCUCCACCACUGGAGAUGGCCUUUGGCGCGACGGAGGGAGAACGGAGAAGAGGGAGACACAUUUGAGAUAUUUUUUCUCUGAGUCUUUUAAGCAUGUGAAUCACGUGUUUUCUAAGCUUUGACUCAUUAAUAGAGCUGUCAAUUUAAGGGGCCAAUUAAUUUAGGCCCCAACCCCCAAAAUAAGAGGGCCUAAAAAAAUUAAAGAAUAGUAAGCCCUCAACCCUAAAGUUAGAUGGGCCCAAAAUUUAAAAGAGGGCCAUAAGGCCCCAAAUAAAAUAAAAAAACUUAAUUUUGAAAAACAAAAUAAAAUAAAUUCAAAAAAUAAAAAAACUUUAUUUUGAAAACCAGGAAUAGAUAAGAAAAUAUUUCCUAUUACGCUGGAUAACGCAUCUGCCAAUGAUAACAUGCAAGACCACUUGAAAACUCAUCUUCGAGUGCAAGGCAAUUUGAUGUGUGAUGGUGAAUUUUUUCAUAUCCGAUGUUCGGCCCAUGUACUCAACUUAAUUGUCCAAGAGGGUUUAAAAGUUGCUAGUGAAGCCCUCCAUAAAAUUAGAGAGAGUGUCAAGUAUAUUAAAGGAUCUGAUGGAAGGAUGCUUAGUUCAGAGAUUGUGUCGAGGAUGCAGGGAUAAAUGUUAGCGUGGUUUAAGAUUUGAUGUAUCACUAGAUGGAAUAGCACUUAUUUGAUGCUUGAAAGUGCCUUGCAAUAUAGGAAAGCUUUGAGUUUUAUAAGGUGGCGGAUAGAAGCUAUAAAUAUUGUCCAUCUGAUGAGGAAUGGGAAAAGGGGGAAAGGAUUUGUGAGUUUUUAGAACCUUUUUA
This 26965-nucleotide long non-coding RNA is filed under the name Lathyrus oleraceus (garden pea). Its description in RNAcentral is "Pisum sativum (pea) long non-coding RNA (PSAT_LNC033574)". The record is from RNAcentral. Lineage: Eukaryota; Viridiplantae; Streptophyta; Magnoliopsida; Fabales; Fabaceae.